RNAcentral lists this ribosomal RNA (395 nucleotides) under uncultured bacterium. RNAcentral's name for it is "bacterial SSU rRNA". It matches the Rfam family "Bacterial small subunit ribosomal RNA", at positions 29 to 414 of the family's 1533-position model. The record is from RNAcentral.
AACGAACGCUGGCGGCGUGGUUUAGGCAUGCAAGUCGAGCGAGAAAGUCCUUCGGGACGAGUACAGCGGCGAAAGGGUGAGUAAUAUAUAGGUAACCUACCUCUUGGACUCGGAUAAUUCCUGGAAACGGGUUGUAAUACGAGAUCGUCCUAUUGGGUCGCAUGGCCCGACUCGGUAAAUGGUAGCUCUGCUUCUGCCGAGAGAGGGGCCUAUAUCCUAUUAGCUAGUUGGUGAGGUAAUGGCUCACCAAGGCUUUGAUGGGUAGCCGGACUGAGAGGUUGGCCGGUCACACUGGGACUGAGACACUGCCCAGACUCCUACGGGAGGCUGCAGUCGAGAAUCUUCCGCAAUGGGCGAAAAGCCUGACGGGGGCGACGCCGCGUGAACGAAGAAGG